RNAcentral lists this ribosomal RNA (273 nucleotides) under uncultured bacterium. RNAcentral's name for it is "partial 16S ribosomal RNA". It matches the Rfam family "Bacterial small subunit ribosomal RNA", at positions 524 to 796 of the family's 1533-position model. The record is from RNAcentral.
UACGUAGGAGGCGAGCGUUGUCCGGAUUUACUGGGCGUAAAGCGCGCGCAGGUGGCAUGACAAGUAAGGUGUGAAAUCUCCCUGCUCAACGGGGAGGGUGCACUUUAGACUGUCAAGCUAGAGGACGGUAGAGGGGGGUGGAAUUGCUGGUGUAGCGGUGAAAUGCGUAGAGAUCAGCAGGAACACCCGUGGCGAAGGCGGCCCCCUGGGCCGUACCUGACGCUGAGGCGCGAAGGCUAGGGGAGCGAACGGGAUUAGAAACCCCCGUAGUCC